UUGCGAUUACGGAUGGUUGCCGCUUCGGCGGAGGAAAGUCCGGACUCCACGGAGGAGGGUGCCAGAUAACGUCUGGCGGUGUCCUAGGACACUAGGGAAAGUGCCACAGAAAAUAUACCGCCUUUUGGUAAGGGUGAAAUGGCGAGGUAAGAGCUCACCGCGCUUCCGAUAACGGCAAGCGGCAGGGCAAACCCCACCCGGAGCAAGAUCAAAUAGGGGCAACUAAUAUGUCCUCCGCAUUGAGGUUUAGCGGCAAUAGUCCGCGGAACCGUAGGUUGCCCGGGUAGAUCGCUAGAUGUUUACGGUGACGUAAAUACCAGAUGAAUGACCAUCGGAGUGCGAUUGCAUUCCACAGAAUCCGGCUUAUAGUUUUCGCAGAAAC
This 382-nucleotide RNase P RNA is filed under the name Holosporaceae bacterium. Its description in RNAcentral is "RNase P RNA component class A". It matches the Rfam family "Bacterial RNase P class A". Rfam says of the family: Ribonuclease P (RNase P) is a ubiquitous endoribonuclease, found in archaea, bacteria and eukarya as well as chloroplasts and mitochondria. Its best characterised activity is the generation of mature 5'-ends of tRNAs by cleaving the 5'-leader elements of precursor-tRNAs. Cellular RNase Ps are ribonucleoproteins. The record is from RNAcentral. Lineage: Bacteria; Pseudomonadati; Pseudomonadota; Alphaproteobacteria; Holosporales; Holosporaceae.